UGUAGAGCGUUGGGGCCCACUGAUUUGAGGAAAAAAUUUGAAUUCUAAAUUGUAAAAAGUGGUGUGCCUUUUUUUAGAGGAGAGAGAAAGCAGUUUUAGUAUUUCACUCAAAAGUGUGAGAAAUUGAAAGAGAGAAAUUGAAGGAGGGCGAAGAUACGCCAGACCAACAAAUUCUUAAGAAUUGAAGCAGACGAAACUUUGGACGCUCAUCCGCAGUUGGACGUGCAGAAUUAUUUUUUUUUUGAACGAUUUGGAACGAUUUGAGGGUAGCUUGAGGAAAAUCAUGAUAAAGGUUCCUGUGGCUUCUUCUAGCAAACAGACGGAUAAGAGGACACUCAAAGCUGUAGUUGAGGAUGAGGUAGAAGAAGAAGGUGAUUAUGUAUAUGAGGUGAGUGGCACAAAUUCUGAUGAUGAUGAUUAUGUGCUAGAAGAAGAGGGCGAAGAUGUAGUAGAUGAGUUAGAAGGUGGUAAAUACGAGGAUGAGGUGGAGUACGUAGUUACUCGUAGCGGGCGUAAGCAGAAAGUUAUUCCAACAAUCUACUGUGCCCUCUGUUGUGCCCAGUACUCGAAGCAGACCGGUUCAGCAGCAACAGCAGAGGAUCUUUAGAACGGUGAAGCGUGCGACAGCAGUAGUUCAAAGGCAAUUUGUAGAGAGGCCGACAGCAGUAGAGAGGCAAUAUUUAGAGAGGCUAGCAGCAGUAGAGACUCGGCAAUUUGUAGUGGACAGGCCGUUUGUAGUUGAACAAGAUCAGGUUGAUCUGGAACCGGGCCCAUCGGUCGGUGAUAAGGUGAAGAUGAAUGGGGUUGUGGUUAGUACUCAGCUAAGGAAGUGCGGGAAGUCCGCAAAUUACAAUUGACGUGUUUCAUCUUUUUCUGAUCUAAUUACUGUGUUGGAGACUGAGAACAAGAAAAUUAAGCUACUGCAGAGAUGUGGUUUUGGUGGGUUGCUGAAGUUGAAAGUGAAAAGAAUUGAUCGUAGGUUUUGUUUCUGGCUGAUGACUAGGGUAGAUCAUGAGAGGAGGUUAUUUGUAAGAGGUGAUGACAAGGAGUUGCCAUUAAGACCUGAGCAAUGGAGGUGCAUAUUUGAUCUCCCCCGGGGUCCAAAACCUGUGCCGGAUACAGUUGAGGGUCCAGUUAUGCAGAGUAAAGUUGAUGACAUUGUUCGGAAUUUUGGUGAGGUUACUCCUAGCGGCCGCGAAAAUAUACCUACUUGUUCGAAAGGCGUAUGAUUGUUUAGGGUUGAUGCCAAUUAGGACAGAGGAGGAGAAUGACCAUUUUAUGAGGGCCUUUUUAAUAGUUGUGUUGGGAUGUAUCUUGUGUCCUACAACAAAUGGUCAGAGCAUGGUACUAGCCUGUUUCCAGCUGUUACUGUAGAUGAUGCUGCCAGUGAGUAUGAUUGGUGUGCCUUUGUGCAUGGUUGGUUGAUGGGUGAUGUGCGUUACUUUCACAAAAAGUUUAACGCUAAAGGGUUUGUUGCUGGUGGUGGGUGGGUGCGACCUAUUUCAGAUGAUUUUUUUACCUCGAUCAUCUUGCGUUGCCCCCUUUGAGUUGGGGGAGAUUGCCCUGAAAUGAUGUGUGGACCGAGAAGAAAAUUAGUGCAUCUAUUCAUGCGAACUUGUUGCCAUCUUUAGAUUAUGGGAAAUUGAAACUGCUUGAUGUAGCUUAUGGAGAAAGCCAUCCAUGGGAGCCUAGGGACUCAGCGGAUUCAUUAGAAGUGAGGGUUGAAAAUGAGAUUAUUUCUCUUUACAAAUCGACUGAAGUCUGACUCAAGUCUCAUACUGACAUUGACUCAUUGUACAAGUAUCUCGUGAAAGACUUGCUAACCUAUUUCAUUUGACUUAGUUUGUCAUUUUUGUGCUGAAAAUGUUAAAGCCCUACUUUGACAAAUUGACCAUGCUGAAUGGACCUAAUAGGGGGUUUGUGAAGCAUGCUCCUAAAGAGAGGUCACCAAUUGAGAGGUCUCCAGUUAUCAAUGAUGUGGCGAGUUCGAGCUCUGAGUUUAUAGAGGAGUGCGUUCUGACGUCUGGUGAUGUAAACAAGGGUCAGCUUGAAGAGACGUAUAGAAAGCUGCAGGAAGUGGUUGGUAUGACUUCAAAUGACCCGAUAGGACAUGUGGUUCAACAAGUAACCUCUGCGGUGAAUGAAAAUUUUGGCAUAAUAGCAUAUGAGGGGCAAUAGAAGGAAGUGGUUGGUGUGGAUCAUUUACUAAUCAGUGAUGCAUAUCCCUAUGCUGCAGUGACGAAUGGGCAGCAGCCUGCAGCUGAGGGGCAGCAGCCUGAGAAAAAUGAGGAUAAGGUGAACGUUCUUGUAGUAGAGAAGGAUGUACCUGGGCUCGAUGAAGGGAACAAUGUUGAGAAGGAAGUGAAUCAUAGCUUGGAUGGCAGUGUUGGAGGAGAAGGGGGAGAUGGUAGUGGUGGAGGAGAAGGGGAGUGUAACCGGGACCGAAGUGUUGGGAAACGAUCCUUAAAGCCGUCUUCGAAGAUCAUUUCUCCUGAUUACAUUGGUAAUUGGAAGAUUUGUAAUUUGGGGAGUGUAGACACGGCCCUCAUCACUUAUUACAGACUAUGGUCGUCGAAAAGUGGCACUAGUGGUCCAAUCAUGUUGCAAUGUGAUGGAGAAUUUGCUUGUCGCGAUGCUUUCCAUGAUGUUGUUUACUGUAGAAGGAAAGUCGGUACCCAAUAUGUUAGUGUAGUGUCAAAGAUAUACAUAAAAGAAUAAGCUAUUAAGUAUGAAGGCCAAAGUAAACAAAUCAUGAUGCAUCCUGCGUAAGGGAUUAAGUUGACAUGUGACAUGGACACUCCCACAAUCCUUGCAAAAAAGCACGGACAACCUUUGUGAGGUGUAGCUGCAAGUUAGCUAGCUGUGGUGAGAAUGAUAAUUUGUGUUGAAGAAGAAUCAUAGGUGGUGUGCAGCAUUUUGUUUCAAGGAAGGGAAGAUCUGGCUCAUUGACUCGCUCUUCGAAGAUCCUGUUGCAGAACACAAAGAAUAUCUCUGUAAACUGGUAACUGCAGUGGAUGUCCUGGUGAAGGUCCACGAUCAAAGCUGGCCCGAGGAUUCCAUUGGAGCAUGGCCUAUGGAGUCAGUAAAUGUGGUCCAACAACCAAUAAUUGUUGUGGAGCGAUGAUGCUAGCGUGCAUCAAGGACAAUACUGACCAUUUUAAGACAAAGUGGCAAAUGAAUGGAGGGGACAUUAAUCAUGGUCGGAUGCAGUUGCUUAUUAAAGACCUCAAAUCUGUUUGCAAUGAGCGACGUAAUGAACUAAAUGCCCUUGUACAAGGCAGUUAGUUGGAUAUAGUUCGUGUUUUUUUUAUGUUGUUGUGGAGGAACAAACUUUCCAUAUUUUGCAAGUAGAUAUGGAUGGGGUCUGACUUAUGGUAUUGAUAUUGGUACGAUGAACUUACAAUUUUUUAGGGGUAGUACACUGUGUUUGGUUGGUUGUAAUAUGGUUGUAAUUUGGCAAGCUCUAUUAAUCAGGUACUUGCAUUUUUGUAACCCAUAACUCGUACGCAUGUAUACCAUCAAGACCAUAGUUGGUACUACAAUAUACCAUUAGAAUAUUACCAUCCUGGUGCAGGAUGGUAUCAUCUGGUGAUAAUGAGUUAGACCCUGUUCUUUUGAGCUUCUAGGCAGAGUAGGGAUCAGCAGAGCACAACAUAUUAAAUUUCAAUAGAGUUGAGCAGAUUUUAGGUUAGCAGAGCCAAGCAGAGCAGAUUUCAACAUUAUUAUUAAU
This is a long non-coding RNA of Chenopodium quinoa (quinoa), 3730 nucleotides long. RefSeq lists it as uncharacterized. Lineage: Eukaryota; Viridiplantae; Streptophyta; Magnoliopsida; Caryophyllales; Amaranthaceae. The transcript has 14 exons. The record is from RefSeq and is a predicted model, not a curated record.